Mustela lutreola (European mink) is the source of this 710-nucleotide long non-coding RNA. RefSeq lists it as uncharacterized. The record is from RefSeq and is a predicted model, not a curated record. NCBI's taxonomy places the organism in Eukaryota, Metazoa, Chordata, Mammalia, Carnivora, Mustelidae. The transcript has 4 exons.
GUGAGCCUGACAUCUGGCAGUUACGCUGCUGGGACUCUCCACUUGAGGGCAAUUCUUUGCUCAUUUUUAGUACAAGACAGUACAUCAAUUGAACAAACAAAAAACAAGAGCAGGUACAAAUAAGGAAACCAUGAAGAAGCAAUCACUAAUAUGUCAUGGCCAACGCGACAAAUGGGCCAGGAAACGUGACGGUCACUUGGAAAGGAUAUAACUGUGGAGUCAUUAAUUCCUGGAGUGAAACUGCGAAGAAUGAUUGAGUUGUAACAUGCUUCAAGGGAACUGGCGCUUGUUCUAACAACUAUCUAUCCAAAUGUAGGAGAGAGCAAGCUAAAAGAUUUUAUGUUUAUCUAUUGUGUUUUACAAGCAACUUUCAUCCUGCUAUGUUUAUCCAAGUUUAUGAAAUCUAAUGCCAGAAUCUACAUAGAUAGCGUUCAAAAUGCCCAUGAGGACACCAGAGAGCUCUGUAUAAUUGUAAGUUUUGUCUAAGACACAGAAAAGUAAUAUGCACGUAUGGCAGUUAGAAUUAAUCAACCAUUUUUCCCCAAACUCCUCCCUUUUCAUUUAUGUAUUAUUUCAAAUACAUAUCAAGGAGGGGUAAAAAUGAAGUGAUGUUGUAUUACUUUUUGUUCUGGUGAAAUUUUUAUAUAUAUAUCAUCUAUAUCACAUUUUUUACUUUGUAAUUUUAAACUGUCCAAACUAACUGCAUAGUA